GAUGAACGCUAGCGGCAGGCUUAACACAUGCAAGUCGAGGGGUAUAGUAGCAAUACUAGAGACCGGCGCACGGGUGCGUAACGCGUAUGCAACCUACCUUUUACAGAGGGAUAGCCCCAGAGAAAUUUGGAUUAAUACCUCAUAGUGUUAUUAGAUGGCAUCAUUUGAUAACUAAAGUUCCAACGGUAAAGAUGGGCAUGCGUCCUAUUAGCUAGAUGGUAAGGUAACGGCUUACCAUGGCUACGAUAGGUAGGGGUCCUGAGAGGGAGAUCCCCCACACUGGUACUGAGACACGGACCAGACUCCUACGGGAGGCAGCAGUGAGGAAUAUUGGACAAUGGGCGCAAGCCUGAUCCAGCCAUGCC
This 365-nucleotide ribosomal RNA is filed under the name uncultured bacterium. RNAcentral describes it as "bacterial SSU rRNA". It matches the Rfam family "Bacterial small subunit ribosomal RNA", at positions 28 to 398 of the family's 1533-position model. The record is from RNAcentral.